This 908-nucleotide ribosomal RNA is filed under the name uncultured Kocuria sp. RNAcentral's name for it is "bacterial SSU rRNA". It matches the Rfam family "Bacterial small subunit ribosomal RNA", at positions 28 to 940 of the family's 1533-position model. Lineage: Bacteria; Bacillati; Actinomycetota; Actinomycetes; Micrococcales; Micrococcaceae. The record is from RNAcentral.
GACGAACGCUGGCGGCGUGCUUAACACAUGCAAGUCGAACGAUGAUGCCCAGCUUGCUGGGCGGAUUAGUGGCGAACGGGUGAGUAAUACGUGAGUAACCUGCCCUUGACUCUGGGAUAAGCCUGGGAAACUGGGUCUAAUACUGGAUACUACUUCUUACCGCAUGGUGGGUGGUGGAAAGGGUUUUACUGGUUUUGGAUGGGCUCACGGCCUAUCAGCUUGUUGGUGGGGUAAUGGCUCACCAAGGCGACGACGGGUAGCCGGCCUGAGAGGGUGACCGGCCACACUGGGACUGAGACACGGCCCAGACUCCUACGGGAGGCAGCAGUGGGGAAUAUUGCACAAUGGGCGGAAGCCUGAUGCAGCGACGCCGCGUGAGGGAUGACGGCCUUCGGGUUGUAAACCUCUUUCAGUAGGGAAGAAGCGAGAGUGACGGUACCUGCAGAAGAAGCGCCGGCUAACUACGUGCCAGCAGCCGCGGUAAUACGUAGGGCGCAAGCGUUGUCCGGAAAUUAUUGGGCGUAAAGAGCUCGUAGGCGGUUUGUCGCGUCUGCUGUGAAAGCCCGGGGCUCAACCCCGGGUCUGCAGUGGGUACGGGCAGACUAGAGUGCAGUAGGGGAGACUGGAAUUCCUGGUGUAGCGGUGAAAUGCGCAGAUAUCAGGAGGAACACCGAUGGCGAAGGCAGGUCUCUGGGCUGUUACUGACGUUGAGGAGCGAAAGCAUGGGGAGCGAACAGGAUUAGAUACCCCUGGUAGUCCAUGCCGUAAACGUUGGGCACUAGGUGUGGGGGACAUUCCACGUUUUUCCGCGCCGUAGCUAACGCAUUAAGUGCCCCGCCUGGGGAGUACGGCCGCAAGGCUUAAACUCAAAGGNAAUUGACGGGGGCCCCGCACAAGCGGCGGNGCAC